AUUGAACGCUGGCGGCAUGCUUUACACAUGCAAGUCGAACGGCAGCGGGGAGGAGCUUGCUUCUCUGCCGGCGAGUGGCGAACGGGUGAGUAAUACAUCGGAACGUGUCGAGAAGAGGGGGAUAACCACCCGAAAGGGUGGCUAAUACCGCAUAAAUUCUGAGGAAGAAAGCUGGGGACCUAGGAAUAGGCCUAGCGCUUUUUGAGCGGCCGAUGUCGGAUUAGCUAGUUGGUGAGGUAAAGGCUCACCAAGGCGAAGAUCUGUAGCGGGUCUGAGAGGAUGAUCCGCCACACUGGGACUGAGACACGGCCCAGACUCCUACGGGAGGCAGCAGUGGGGAAUUUUGGACAAUGGGGGCAACCCUGGUCCAGCCAUGCCGCGUGUAUGAAGAAGGCCUUAGGGUUGUAAAGUACUUUUGUUAGGGAAGAAAAGUCAGCUGUGAAUAAUGGCUGAUACUGACGGUACCUAAAGAAUAAGCACCGGCUAACUACGUG
Molecule: ribosomal RNA, 494 nt
Filed under: uncultured bacterium
Lineage: Bacteria
Description: partial 16S ribosomal RNA
Rfam family: Bacterial small subunit ribosomal RNA
Source: RNAcentral